RNAcentral lists this ribosomal RNA (498 nucleotides) under uncultured bacterium. RNAcentral describes it as "partial 16S ribosomal RNA". It matches the Rfam family "Bacterial small subunit ribosomal RNA", at positions 28 to 507 of the family's 1533-position model. The record is from RNAcentral.
GACGAACGCUGGCGGCGUGCCUAAUACAUGCAAGUCGAGCGGACGAAUCGAAAGCUUGCUUUUGAUUCGUUAGCGGCGGACGGGUGAGUAACACGUGGGCAACCUGCCCUGUAGACGGGGAUAACACCGAGAAAUCGGUGCUAAUACCGGAUAACACGAAAUGUCGCAUGACGUUUCGUUGAAAGACGGCGCAAGCUGUCGCUACAGGAUGGGCCCGCGGCACAUUAGCUAGUUGGUGAGGUAACGGCUCACCAAGGCGACGAUGCGUAGCCGACCUGAGAGGGUGAUCGGCCACACUGGGACUGAGACACGGCCCAGACUCCUACGGGAGGCAGCAGUAGGGAAUCUUCCGCAAUGGACGAAAGUCUGACGGAGCAACGCCGCGUGAGCGAAGAAGGCCUUCGGGUCGUAAAGCUCUGUUGUUAGGGAAGAACAAGUAACGCAGUAACUGGCGUUACCGUGAUGGUACCUAACGAGAAAGCCACGGCUAACUACGUG